GUCAGAGCUCCAUUGUCGAGACACUGAUCGGUUGAAGUUGUGUUUCUUUAAGUACAGGCACUUUUAUAUACCAGGGGUUGAUUUUUAUUAACUAACUUUAUUUUUUGUUUUUCUUAUUUGAGAAUGUACAAGAAAUGCUUUUAUUUAGUUUUGCUUUCAAAUAUUUGGCCUAGCCCCAAAACAUUUCAUCUUAAACUAUGAAAAUCUAUUGUAAAAAUAUGCUUGCGUUUUUAAAACUAUGAUGAUCUAUACAAAAAGUGGCCAUUCCAAUGUUUAUAAUGUGAAAAUGAUUUAUAAAAAAUUUUGUGCAUAAUUACAACUGUCUGUUGGGGUGUAAUUUUCACUUCAACAAACAGUAAGUUUAGUCUUGAGAUGACAUAUGACACUCGAUAUACAGUAUGAAGAAGCCAAAGAAAACUCAAGGUAAAUACAGUGGGUAUAGAAAAGAAUCAGCCACUUUAUAUAAUAAUCACAUUUUGUUGCUUUGCAGCAUGAAAUGAAGACGUUUUUGUUUUAUCCAGAUGUAUUUACUCAGUGCAGCCAAGUGAAAGAUAAAACACUAACAUGUCAGAGAAAAAUGAUAAAUCAGAAUCACUGACUUGUGUCAGUAUUUUGUUGAAGCACCUUUUCCUUUAAUUACAGCCUUUAGUCUGUUGGUAUCCGUCUCUACCAGGGGCGUAAAUUUCAUCUAACAGUUGGGGGGGAGGGAUUUUUGAAGGAGACACAAAUAAAUAAUACAGUUAAAAUUGUACUUGUAAGGAUAUGUAUACACAGAGGAAUGGCUUACUACUAUUAGUGUAGCAGGGAGACCGUGCCAAAUUAGACAACUUCAAGUUGUUGUGGUCACUCCGUGACAGAGGUUGUGUCCGUUGUAGACAUUACCGUCACAGUGUUGCCAAGUCCGCGGUUUUCCCGUGGAAUUGGGCUACUUUAUCACUGUUGCUGUGGGUUGUUUUUAAUGUCCGCAGGUUGAAGCGACCCCAAUAACGUGCAUUUUAGCCCCCGGAAUACGAUUUUUACCAUAGGACCCCCUCGAAACGUGGUUAGUUUGGGCUAGUUUUGGGUAGAAAAUUGGGCAGGUUCUGUUGUGAAAACCUGGCAACCCUUUCCGUCAAGCAAGUAACGUUAUUAUUGCUAACAUAGCAGACUCAUCGAAGGUAUAGCCUGAAUGCACUGUAAAUCGCUUUGGAUAAAGGGGUCUGCUAAAUGCAUAAAUGUAAAAAAUAGCCUUGACAGCCUUACUUACUGGAGUUCCACAACUAUUGACUUCUCUCUCACCGGACUUGUGUGUGUAGGUGAUGUAAAAGAGGAAAGUAGGCAUUUGGACCAAAGUACUGUGAGGCAAGGGAUGGGGGAGACUCAAAAUGGUUCUAAACUUAAAACGCAUUUUUGACCCAUUUGUGUUGUUUUACUACUUACAGAAUUAUUUAAAGUAUAAAAAUUUCCGCCUAUGGUCUCUACUAACUUUGCAAAUUUAGACUUUGCAAUAUUUGCUCACUCUUCUUUGCAGAACUACUCAAGGUCAGUUCAAUCUGACGGUGAGCAUUUGUGUACUGCAGUCUUCAAGUCAUUCCACAAAUUUUCAGUGGGGUUUAAGUCUGGACUCUGAUGACCUUUUGCUCCUUCAACCACUGUGUGCUCAGUUUUGCUGUGUGCUUUGGGUCAUUGUCAGUUUGGAAGGUAAACCUUAUUCCCAUUGACAGCUUUUCCUCAAGAAUAUGACCAUGUUUUGCAUCCAUUUCUCCUACUAUCCUCACUCAUGCUUCAGUCUGUGCUGCAGAGAAACACCUCAUAACAGGACAUCACCACCUCCAUGCUUUACUGCAGGAAUGCUUUUGUUUGGAUGCUGAGCUGGAUUGGAUUUCUGCUAGACAUAUCAUUUGGUGUUGAGGCCAAAUAAUUUAAUUUUAGUCUCAUCGGCCUCAGAAUCUUCAAGGUGCGUUUCAGCAAAGCUCACUCUGGCUGCAUGUGGCCUUUCUUAAGGAGUGGCUUUUUU
Cyprinus carpio carpio is the source of this 1996-nucleotide long non-coding RNA. NCBI's taxonomy places the organism in Eukaryota, Metazoa, Chordata, Actinopteri, Cypriniformes, Cyprinidae. The record is from Ensembl.